AUGGCUACAGUCCUCAAGGUCCCCUUAAUCCUGUACCUGCUUGCAGUGCUUGCCGGCCGCCAUGUUCACUGCAAGAGCAAUGGGGCCGCCGCCGGCCUUUAUGACGUUACAGAGUAUGGAGCGGCGCCGAGCAGCGAAGACAACAAAGACGCAUUCUUGGCGGCAUGGCGCGCCGCGUGCAGCUCCACGACCCGCAACGCGACGCUGCUGAUCCCCGAGGGCACCUUCGCCGUCGGCGCCGUGGAGUUCUCGGGCCCGUGCAAGAGCGGUGACGCGCCCGUCGUGGUGAUCGACGGCGUGCUCCGGCCGUGCACGGGUGGAUGCCACCUAACGGAUGAUGACUGGAUCUUCAGCGCCCUGAGCAACCUCCUCAUCACCGGCGCCGGUACCCUAGACGGCCAGGGCGGCGCUCGGACUAACAAGGCCAGAACGACGGUGAUCACGCCGGCCGCCAAUACUGAAUCGAUCAAAUUCGUGUCAUUUCCUUUUACUGAACGAGACGGCGAGGUGAUUUUGCCCGCCAUUGCGCAGACUCUGGAGUUGGACGGCGUGACGAACUCGACCGUGAGGGGCCUGCGGUUCGUGGACAGCCGGGGCUUCCACGUGAGCUUCCACCGCAGCAGCCGCGUGGCGGCGGAGGGCCUCCGCAUCCACGCCCCCGCGUCCAGCCGGAACACGGACGGCAUCCACGUCGGCUGCUCGAGCCACGUCCGCAUCACCGACUCGGUCAUCGGCACGGGCGACGACUGCGUGUCCGUCGGCCCCGGCUCCUCGGACGUGGUCGUCACCGGCAUCGUCUGUGGCCCGGGCCACGGCAUCAGCGUGGGCAGCCUGGGGAGGGAGGAGGGGGAGGAGGACGUGCGCGGGCUGGUGAUCCGGAACUGCACCGUGCGCGGCACCACCAACGGGGUGCGCAUCAAGACGUGGCCCGGCUCGCCGCCGGGUCGGGCCUCCAACAUCACCUUCGAGGACAUCAUCAUGGCCGACGUGUCCAACCCCAUCCUCAUCGACCAGCGGUACUGCCCCCACGGCCGUUGCUCCGACGUCGACAAGCCUUCGCGGGUGCAGAUCAGCGACGUGACCUUCAGGAGGAUCGAGGGGACGUCGAGCAGCAAGGUGGCGGUGCAGCUGCGGUGCAGCGAGGAGCAGCCGUGCAGCGGGGUGCGCCUGGACGGCAUCAAGGGACGCCCGCCUUGGAGGCGCAGGCGCCCAGCCUGUGGGUUCAAGAAGCUCACGUGCUGCCAUCAGACGCUGAAUAACCAACCAUUCUCAAAAAUGAGACCAACCCAAGGGCUAACCCUCGUUGACUUUUCUUUAUAG
RNAcentral lists this ribosomal RNA (1320 nucleotides) under Triticum aestivum (bread wheat). RNAcentral's name for it is "partial small subunit ribosomal RNA". Lineage: Eukaryota; Viridiplantae; Streptophyta; Magnoliopsida; Poales; Poaceae. The record is from RNAcentral.